This 460-nucleotide ribosomal RNA is filed under the name uncultured bacterium. RNAcentral describes it as "partial 16S ribosomal RNA". It matches the Rfam family "Bacterial small subunit ribosomal RNA", at positions 338 to 795 of the family's 1533-position model. The record is from RNAcentral.
CCUACGGGCGGCAGCAGUGAGGAAUAUUGGUCAAUGGACGAGAGUCUGAACCAGCCAAGUAGCGUGAAGGAUGACUGCCCUAUGGGUUGUAAACUUCUUUUAUAUGGGAAUAAAACGUUCCACGUGUGGGAUUUUGUAUGUACCAUAUGAAUAAGGAUCGGCUAACUGCGUACCAGCAGCCGCGGUAAUACGGAGGAUCCGAGCGUUAUCCGGAUUUAUUGGGUUUAACGGGCGCGUAGGGGGAUUGUUAAGUCCGUUGUGAAAGUUUGCGGCUCAACCGUAAAAUUGCAGUUGAAACUGGCAGUCUUGAGUACAGUAGAGGUGGGCGGAAUUCGUGGUGGAGCGGUGAAAUGCUUAGAUAUCACGAAGAACUCCGAUUGCGAAGGCAGUUCACUGGACUGCAACUGACACUGAGGCUCGAAAGUGUGGGUAUCAAACAGGAUUAGAUACCCUUGUAGUC